RNAcentral lists this long non-coding RNA (3151 nucleotides) under Zea mays. Its description in RNAcentral is "long non-coding RNA (ZMAY_LNC000983)". The record is from RNAcentral. Lineage: Eukaryota; Viridiplantae; Streptophyta; Magnoliopsida; Poales; Poaceae.
CCUCCUCGACGCCAAAUUUCUUCGGUGAGACCUCGCUAUUCCGUGUUCCUUGAUUUUAUAAAAUAACUAAACUAAUAAGCCAUGAAAUAACUGUGUAUGUCGUUUAAUCGCAGCCCCUUAUCGUCAUCGCGCUUCACGCGUUGUUUCUUGACAGAAAGCCAAACCGACAUGCACGCGUUCGCAACUCCACUCGGAUUUUGGCCAGGUCGUUCGCUUUAGAAAAAUUGUGAUUUUGUUUUAUUUACGAUUCAAUCGAUGGCGUGAAUAUGUGCGUGAAAGUAUAAUUGUAUGAAUAAACGCGUGUAGAGAAGAAAAUGAAAUAGAAAAGAACUCGGGUAUUUUUAUUUUGAUAGGAAAAUAUGCGAUGUGUUGUUUGAUGCGAAAAACUAAGUUACAAAAUGCGGAUUAUGUUUUGGGAAAUGCAUCGAUAUGUGUUUAUGUGAUAAGUAUAAUUGUUUUAGGCAAUGUGAUGGGAUUCAUGAUUAUAUGGGGAGUAUAUUUAUUGAUGUGACGAGUAGUUUAGAAAAUGCUAGUUUGCGUAGAGGAUGUAUUGUUAAGACAUGAGUGUCGGAAUUCAUAUAUUAGUGGUUACGCUACGAUGAUCGAAGUGUCUCGAGUGCACGCCACAAUAUGGGUAUGCGAGACGGGGUUAUGUGCGUGAUGAGUUUAGUAAAAAUCCAUCAGUGUCACUGGUGUUAAGUUAAGGUUUAUUUGCGCGUAUAAAGUAAUAAUGUGUUUAAUACUUAGAACUCUUAGUCGAUAGUAGAAAUUGUUUUGGUUUAUAUAGAAAGGUGGUGACAUGCCAAGUAGUCAUCGUUUUUCUCUAUAUUUAUAAGUCGAGUCGUGACGAUGCGUAUUAUGCGUUCGUUAAAUUAUGCUUGUGCAUAUAGUGUAUGGUUGUGCUCACGAUUUCGAGUAGAUACUUCAAGUAAGUCAAGUAGGUUUGUGAUACAAGUGUGUAAUGGAGUUAGUUGUUUUAGGAUAAUUAUUGAAAUACUCGGCUCAUAUGAUAAACAUGUAUGCGUUCAUGAUUGGGGAAGUAAAUGCAUGGUGUUUACGAAUUGUAGACUGGUGGUUUACGAUUCGUAUGAUUUGGUCGGUGUGCGAAGAUACUUGUAUAUAUGUAUGUUUAUGAAAAUGUUGUAGUGUAUGUUGUGUCUCGGAUUGCGACGAUAAUAGGCAAGCCAACGUGUAUGUUAAUUAGCGGCUAUGUCAUUGCUCUAGUUAGCAAAUUGUUUGAUGGUUUGGUUAAGCUCGUAAUCACGAUGAAUUGCUUGUUGUGGUCUAAAUGUGUAUGGUUAUGGUCGCGGGUAAAAAUUUGUAGUGUUCAUGUGAUGUCUAAGUGAAAAUGCAAAUUAGUGUCUGAAGGGCGCAAUCGAUAUACACAUUUAUACCGGGUUUGAUUAUUGUGGUGAAUACGUUGUUGAUGGUGUAUGGUAAUUCUAGCGCACAAAAUAACUUGUAUAAAAUUAGUAAGUCUACUUGUUGGUUCUAAUUUGAUUGUUUUAACUCUAACAUAUGGUAAAGUGUUAGAAUGGUUCAAGUCUCUAGAACGCGGCAAUUCUUGAAGUAAUUAGGAGCUGAAUUUUAUUAGUUGUUGUUUUGGGCUGCACGCACUGUUUUCGUCAUGCUUUUUCUUUAACGAACCAAAUCAUGUUUUCUGUAGAAAAGACAUAUAGAAAAGUUAUAGAUAACUUUAUUAUCUUACUGGUGUUAAAAUUUGUGCUUUUCACAAAUUCAGUAAUUGAAUCUGUCCAAUUUCUAUACAGGUUUCCGAGAUUGCACUGUUUGCUUAAGUUAAUGUUACAAUCUGUUCAUGGUCAUUAUACGAAAGUUGUAGGUAAUUUUCUUAUCUUGCUUGUGUUAAAAUUUCAUAACCACAGGCCUGAUAGUUUAAGAGUUAUGAAUUUUACAAACUGGUUGUUGUGUUCUGUCCAUUAUCAGAACAGAUUUUAAAAACUAAAUUGUUUGAUUUGGUUAAACAUAGAAUCACUUCUUGGUGAUUAUAAAGGUUAUGUGGUAUUUUUUCUAAGCUUUCCAAAAAGUCUUGGAUCACUCUUUUUGGUGAUCUGAAGAUUAACUUAUGGAUGUUUAAAGUGUGAAGACUGAAUCUGUCCAGUUCUAGACAGCAAAGCCUUCUAAUGCCUUUUAUUCUAAAUUUCAUAUUGAAUCACCUUGGGAUGUUUAUAAAUGAUUUGUAGAAGUUUUCAUUAGCUUUCCAGAAAGUCCAGAAUCACCUGUUUUGGAUGCAUGACUCUCUGAUUAUGAAUUUUUGAAGUCGUAAGUCUGAAUGUGUCCAAACCUGGACAGAGCUAUUGUUUUUGCAUAAUUCGACCUUGCUAGGAGUCUAAUCAUGCUGAGGUAAAAAUACCAAAGUUGUAGAGCACUUUUUAAGCUUUCCCGAAAGUCCUAGUUUGCUAUUUUUGGAUUAAUAUUUGAAGAGUUAUGAUUAAAAUAAACAACUGCGGUGCUGCUGUCCCAAAUAUGUUAGAUGCGAUUGUUUGGUCUACUCUAUUGUGCUGCCUUGAGUGACUGCUUGCUUCUUUUGGGUGUUAAUUGAACAUGAGUAAUAAUGAUAGUGACUAAUAUAUUUGAGCCAAAAUAUAUAAGUAACUAGUACACGUCUUGCUAAGUUAGUGAACCAAAUAGGUUAGGGUCUAAUAAGUGUUUGUCUAGUGACUGGUUGUAGAACCCGAUUAAGUGUUUAUUCCCAUUUAACUAAGUUUGUCUAUAUAGAAGCCAUGGCAAAUUGAUGUGUACUUAACUAGCAUAAUAAUAAAGGAACUAAUGAAAAAUUAGAGCGAAUAUGAUAAAUGCUUGCACGUGUGAUGACGUGUUGCGCUGGUUAAUUCUAGGAAGUAAUUGUCGUCUUUCUAAUGGUAUUGAUUACGUAGGCCCGAUGACGUAUAAAUAACUAGCGCUUGCGUAUAUUUGUUGCAGUGUCUUACUAUUUAGUGUUUAAUUGCUACCAUAUAUUUUGGGAUUGUCUUGUGAUAUAUUUCAUCAUAUUCAUACAUAUGCAUCCUGCAUCUCAUUUAGGAUCGAGAGAUGAUGAUCGUGCGAGAUAAAGGACGUGGAGUGGAGCUGACUCCAAGACGGUGUUGGCAGACGCCUUGAAUAUGGACAGACAGAACAAAGGCCAGGAUAGGAG